UCCCUCACGGUGGCCUCUUUCAGCCCAACUC
Molecule: non-coding RNA, 31 nt
Filed under: Homo sapiens (human)
Lineage: Eukaryota; Metazoa; Chordata; Mammalia; Primates; Hominidae
Source: RNAcentral